CUGGCGGCGUGCCUAAUACAUGCAAGUCGAGCGAAUGAAUGGGAGCUUGCUCCCUGACAUUAGCGGCGGACGGGUGAGUAACACGUGGGCAACCUGCCCUGCAGAUGGGGAUAACUCCGGGAAACCGGGGCUAAUACCGAAUAAUCAAUUCCUCCGCAUGGAGGAAUUCUGGAAAGACGGCUUCGGCUGUCACUGCAGGAUGGGCCCGCGGCGCAUUAGCUAGUUGGUGGGGUAACGGCCUGCCAAGGCGACGAUGCGUAGCCGACCUGAGAGGGCGAUCGGCCACACUGGGACUGAGACACGGCCCAGACUCCUACGGGAGGCAGCAGUAGGGAAUCUUCCACAAUGGACGAAAGUCUGAUGGAGCAACGCCGCGUGAAGCGAAGAAGGUUUUCGGAUCGUAAAGCUCUGUUGUGAGGGAAGAACAAGUACGGGAGUAACUGUCCGUACCUUGACGGUACCUCAUUAGAAAGCCACGGCUAACUACGUGCCAGCCGCAGC
Molecule: ribosomal RNA, 501 nt
Filed under: uncultured bacterium
Lineage: Bacteria
Description: bacterial SSU rRNA
Rfam family: Bacterial small subunit ribosomal RNA
Source: RNAcentral